UGCGCCUUGCCAGCCCGCUCAGAAACUCAAAGGAAUUGACGGGGGCCCGCACAAGCGGAGGAGCAUGUGGUUUAAUUCGAUGAUACGCGAGGAACCUUACCUGGGCUCGAACGUAAGAUGACUGUAGGUGAAAGCUUACAUCUCUUCGGAGCAUUUUACGAGGUGCUGCAUGGUUGUCGUCAGCUCGUGCCGUGAGGUGUCGGGUUAAGUCCCAUAACGAGCGCAACCCCUACCUUUAGUUGCCAUCAGGUAAUGCUGGGGACUCUAAAGGAACUGCCUACGCAAGUAGUGAGGAAGGUGGGGAUGACGUCAAAUCAGCACGGCCCUUACGUCCAGGGCUACACACGUGCUACAAUGGUCGGUACAAAGGGUUGCCAAGCCGCGAGGUGGAGCUAAUCCCAUAAAACCGAUCGUAGUCCGGAUCGCAGUCUGCAACUCGACUGCGUGAAGUCGGAAUCGCUAGUAAUCGUGAAUCAGAAUGUCACGGUGAAUACGUUCCCGGGCCUU
This 507-nucleotide ribosomal RNA is filed under the name uncultured Sphingobacteriales bacterium. RNAcentral's name for it is "bacterial SSU rRNA". It matches the Rfam family "Bacterial small subunit ribosomal RNA", at positions 903 to 1382 of the family's 1533-position model. Lineage: Bacteria; Pseudomonadati; Bacteroidota; Sphingobacteriia; Sphingobacteriales. The record is from RNAcentral.